UAAAGAUUAAGCCAUGCAUGUCUAAGAAUGUAUCGACAAAUGAUGAAUCUGCGGACGGCUCAUUACAACAGCUAAAAUCUACUCGUUCUUGUAUCCUAAACGGAUAUCUGCGAUAAUUUUGGAGCUAAUACGUGCACCAAUCAGUGGCUCACGCUGCUGGCAUUUAUUAGAAUAAGACCGAUCGGGGAAACCCGUUUUGGUGAACUCUGAAUAACUUCGCGGAUCGCAUGGUCUUGUACCGGCGACGUAACGAUCGAGUAUCUGCCCUAUCAACUUUCGAUGGAUGUCUAUUUGACUCCCAUUGUUGUGACGGGUAACGGAGGAUAAGGGUUCGACUCCGGAGAGGGAGCCUGAGAAACGGCUACCACAUCCAAGGAAGGCAGCAGGCGCGUAAAUUACCCACUCUCAAUACGAGGAGGUAGUGACUAUCAAUAACGAGGCAGAUCUCUAUGAGGCCUGCUAUUGGAAUGAGCACAAUGUAAAUGCUUAACGAGGAUCU
RNAcentral lists this ribosomal RNA (499 nucleotides) under Rhabditolaimus sp. RLH-2013. Its description in RNAcentral is "SSU rRNA". It matches the Rfam family "Eukaryotic small subunit ribosomal RNA", at positions 38 to 546 of the family's 1831-position model. Lineage: Eukaryota; Metazoa; Nematoda; Chromadorea; Rhabditida; Diplogasteridae. The record is from RNAcentral.